UUUCAGGGGCUCUUCUAGAUUCUUCUGGCCUCUGAGGGUACCAGGACUGCACAUAGUGCCUAGACAUACAUGAAGGCAGAGUACCCAUCUACAUAAAAGAACUGAAUCUCGAUGUCUUGCAUGCUAAGCAUGUGCUCUGCCCUUGUGCUCAUCCUGAGCCUAUGCCCUUUAUGAUCAGGUGAGAUCAAACCAGGAGAUCGCUAGCUAAUGCCAGACUUCGAUGCUCCCUGUAACUUCCCAUCCUAUGGCGAGACUGGUCUAUUGCAGACUUAGUUCUAGUCCAUGGUUUUCCUAAGGUUUGUUUUGUUGGGGAGUUUUGGGAUUCAUUAAGUUUUACAAAUGCUAAAGUUAAACUAAGUCCAGCAGCCUCUUGACUUGAGGCCUCUUCAGAUCUCUGACACACUCAACUUGGUGGCAUGCAGAGCUCUCCCAAACCCAGGACACUGUGUUUCCCUAGGAAUGAGCGAGAAAGAGCCGUAGCUAAGCUGCUGGCAGCCUGGGCAACAGGCUUGACAUACUGCACCCGCUCUCAUGGAUCAGAGCCUAGGGGCUGGGUCCCAGGCCAGGCUACUUACCCACAAUAGAAACAGAAGAGAAAUCCUUGCAAUCCGUGGAAGAGUUGGUCCUCAGACUCUUGUCAUCUCUGAGCGUCUCCUCAGGUACCAGGUGGCUGUAGACAGCAAGGAAGCACAGGAAACCCACUAGAGUGGCCAGGAGUAGGCGCGUGACGUCCAUCCUGAAAAGCCUAAAUUGGACAGAGGAGGUGGUUGGUGGUGGGUUCGGAGAGAAGAUGGCGGUAGGAGGAUGUGCCUUUGGGCUGGCCGUCUGACUCUGCUAUACAGUAUCUCAGCAGGGCCGGAAGUCUGGCAAGGCUGAGGGCAGGGAUGUUGAUAUAGGGAGAUGACAGAAAAGGAGAGAUGGGGAGAAGGGAGCAAGACGAGGAAGGGAGGGAGAUUGAAAGAGCACAAGAAUGCAUUGUGUUGGUCUGCGCUGUCCAGAGGGCGGGGUACUGACUCUUUCUGUUUCUUUUCUUUUUCUGUAUAAGCAGCGGUCCCAGGGGACCUUAGGCCUAGGCAGAGCUGUUGAAAGUGCCCCCCGCCCCCCAGGAGUGCCUCACAGUGGCAGAGGUCUUACCAAGGUGAAGAAAGUACAAGUUAAAAGUCAGUGAGAGGGAUGAGGGAUGAAGGUCCCUGAAGACAAGUGGAUGCCAUCUCAUACACCAGAUUCCCUGCUGGUCCAGAGGGAACAGAUGCAGGAGUGGACGGGAAGCAGGAAGACCGGCCUGAGGAGUGAUGCUGCGCACCUGCAUGCAGUUCUAGCGCCUGGGAGGCGAGGCGCGAGGCCAUUAUGAGCUGCACAGUGAGACUGUCUCAAAUAAGACAAAAGAACAAAAAAAACAGUCUCCCACGGCAGAACAAAGCAAACCGCCAAAGAAGCCUUUGCAAUCCCAGCAUUCAACAUGUGAAGGCUGUAUAUAGUUCAAAGCCAUCCUUGGCUGCUGCAAGAACGAGAACACCCAAAAGCCUCUAUGGACUGUAGUUUGCCGCCCUGGCCAAGUCCAGCUUAUUAUGGAAGAAAUUAAAACAGAACCAGAACAGCUGUUCUUGUGCUAAGGCCUGGA
Peromyscus maniculatus bairdii (prairie deer mouse) is the source of this 1621-nucleotide non-coding RNA. Lineage: Eukaryota; Metazoa; Chordata; Mammalia; Rodentia; Cricetidae. The record is from RefSeq and is a predicted model, not a curated record.